GGAUUGAACGCUAGCGGGAUGCUUUACACAUGCAAGUCGAACGGCAGCGCGGACUUCGGUCUGGCGGCGAGUGGCGAACGGGUGAGUAAUAUAUCGGAACGUGCCCAGUAGCGGGGGAUAACUACGCGAAAGCGUGGCUAAUACCGCAUACGCCCUACGGGGGAAAGGGGGGAUUCUUCGGAACCUCUCACUAUUGGAGCGGCCGAUAUCAGAUUAGCUAGUUGGUGAGGUAAAGGCUCACCAAGGCGACGAUCUGUAGCCGGUUUGAGAGGACGACCAGCCACACUGGGACUGAGACACGGCCCAGACUCCUACGGGAGGCAGCAGUGGGGAAUUUGGACAUGGGGGAAACCUGAUCCAGCCAUCGCGCGUGUGC
Molecule: ribosomal RNA, 376 nt
Filed under: uncultured soil bacterium
Lineage: Bacteria
Description: bacterial SSU rRNA
Rfam family: Bacterial small subunit ribosomal RNA
Source: RNAcentral